GCCGAUAAUCUAGCCCUAAUUUAACUAACGAGCCCCCUCUCCCCUCCGCUCGACUAUAAAAUAUUUUAAUAAUUUAGUAAAGACGAUAAAAAAAUUAAUCGGAGCUAUAGACAUGUACCGCAAGGGAACAAUGAAAUAAUAGUGAAACAUCUUAAGCACAAAAAAGUAAAGACCAACUCUUGUACCUUUCGCAUCAUGGUUUAACAAGUCUAAUUAAGCAAAAUGAUUUAAAGUUUUACAUCCCGAAACUAGGUGAGCUACUCGAGGACAGCUUCAUGAGCAAACCCGUCUCUGUUGCAAAAGAAUGGGAAGAUCCCCAAGUAGAGGUGACAGACCUAACGAACCUAGUGAUAGCUGGUUACUCAAGAAAAGAAUUUUAGUUCCUCUGAAAGUCCCCUUAAUUGUAUAAAAUAAACCCAAGACUUUUAUGUUACCCAAGUAAGGUACAGCUUACUUGGGAUAGGGUACAACCUCCUCCACCGGGUAAGCCAUUCUACACGACGUAAAUUUGUAGGCCUAAAAGCAGCCAUCCACUACAGCGUCAAAGCUUAUUUACAUCCAAAACUAAUAACUUGAUUUUUCCCGAGCCCCUCCACAGUAUUGAGUAAUUCUAUGCCUACCCAUAGAAUCUUCUAUGUUAAAACUAGUAACAAGAAGCUAGCCUUCUCUAAAAUGCCCGCAUAACCCAGGCCUGAACUCAGCACUGGCUAUUAACAGCCUUCCACUAAAGAAGAAACUUUUCAAGCAAAAUCUUCUAAAUAACCUGUUAACCUAACACAAGCGCAUUUCAAGAAAGAUUAAAAGAAAAUGAAGGAACUCGGCAAACCACCACCCCGCCUGUUUACCAAAAACAUCGCCUCUUGAAGUAUAUAAGAGGUCCAGCCUGCCCAGUGACUUGUUUAACGGCCGCGGUAUCCUAACCGUGCGAAGGUAGCGUAAUCACUUGUCUUUUAAAUAAAGACUAGUAUGAAAGGCAUCACGAGGGUCAAACUGUCUCCUUUUUCUAAUCAGUGAAACUAAUCUUCCCGUGAAGAAGCGGGAAUUCCUCUAUAAGACGAGAAGACCCUAUGGAGCUUUAAACUGUAAAUUAUUGGCUUAUCUCCCCUAGACUCCUCCAGAAAUUUAACAUUUUUAAGCCAAUUAAUUGUACGUUUUAGGUUGGGGUGACCUAGGAGAAAAACUAAUCCUCCUAGCUGAUACGGGCUAAACCCUAAGAAAAAAGCCACAACUUUAAUUAUCAAUAAAUUGACAUCAAUUGACCCAGUCCGCUGAGCAACGAACCAAGUUACCCUAGGGAUAACAGCGCAAUCUACUUCAAGAGUUCCUAUCGACAAGUGGGUUUACGACCUCGAUGUUGGAUCAGGGUAUCCGAGUGGUGCAGCCGCUACUAAAGGUUCGUUUGUUCAACGAUUAAAACCCU
RNAcentral lists this ribosomal RNA (1420 nucleotides) under Phrynopus sp. AMNH A165108. Its description in RNAcentral is "partial 16S ribosomal RNA". It matches the Rfam family "Bacterial large subunit ribosomal RNA", at positions 361 to 2597 of the family's 2925-position model. The record is from RNAcentral. Lineage: Eukaryota; Metazoa; Chordata; Amphibia; Anura; Strabomantidae.